This 115-nucleotide ribosomal RNA is filed under the name uncultured eukaryote. RNAcentral's name for it is "partial small subunit ribosomal RNA". It matches the Rfam family "Bacterial small subunit ribosomal RNA", at positions 1411 to 1525 of the family's 1533-position model. The record is from RNAcentral.
UUGGCUUGACCCGAAGCCGGUGCGCUAACCUUCGGGAGGCAGCCGACCACGGUCAGGUCAGCGACUGGGGUGAAGUCGUAACAAGGUAGCCGUAGGUGAACCUGCAGAAGGAUCA